Long non-coding RNA from Calidris pugnax (ruff), 646 nucleotides. RefSeq lists it as uncharacterized. The record is from RefSeq and is a predicted model, not a curated record. The transcript is spliced from 3 exons. Lineage: Eukaryota; Metazoa; Chordata; Aves; Charadriiformes; Scolopacidae.
AGAAGAGAGUGGAAUUGGCUCCGUUGGACUAAGAGGAGACUUUCAGUGUCUGGGAGCUGCCAUCAGCUGGUGUUUUUGCACAUCUCGCAAAAUGUGGACAAAUGUGACAGAGCUCAAGGAGAGAGGAUAAAGGACUUUUGCUGAGGACAGUCACAGGCUGCUGUGUGCUGCUUUGCUGCCAGAUUGAACAGUUCCUCAGGAAAGCACUUGGCCCCAGAGGCAAGACCAAAGUGAUGCUUUGCAGUCCCUGGUGUGAGCUGGAGGUGGCUGGCACAGGGAGGACUUCCAUAAAAAACAAAACCACAACAGUCAGGGUUUAUCAUGAGCACAGUGCAGCCACCUGUAAGAAUCUCCAGAAGAUGAAAAGCUGGUGCAUGACUAGAGGAUCCUUUCAUGAAAUGUAAGUAAAAUUAAUAGGUGGAUUUUGUUUUGAGCUUUUGAAACAUUUCAAAAUUCCCAGUUCUGACAAAAUUUCAAAUGGAAGUUUCAGAUGUCUCCUCCUCACUUAUGUUUCUCUUCAGGCUUCUCUCUCCCUCUUACACCAUGGUUUUUAAUGUUAUUAACAUGUAAAUUAGUCUUAUUUACAGAAAAUAACAUCUUGACAAGUUGACAAGUGUUGUGUAUGACAAGAGUUUGGUCUGGGAGG